Empidonax traillii (willow flycatcher) is the source of this 186-nucleotide long non-coding RNA. RefSeq lists it as uncharacterized. The record is from RefSeq and is a predicted model, not a curated record. Lineage: Eukaryota; Metazoa; Chordata; Aves; Passeriformes; Tyrannidae. The transcript is spliced from 4 exons.
CUAAGCGCACAAAGGCCAAGACCUCAGCAACCAAGGUCCUGGCACAGCCUGACCUGACACCAAGUGAGCUCAAGGCCAAGGCUGACGGUGCAACGACUGAGAGCAUCACAGACACUGACAGCACCCCCGUUCAGUGCCUGCCUGAUGCUGCCAGUCUGGCCUUUGUGGAUGAGGGAGUUGUCUCUG